CUAUUAAUUCAUAGCAUGGUUCGGAUUAAUACUUGAAAUGAGUAUUAUGAAGUAGGAAUGGUGAGUAAUCAUUGAUCAUUAUUGC
Molecule: ribosomal RNA, 85 nt
Filed under: uncultured Chlamydomonas
Lineage: Eukaryota; Viridiplantae; Chlorophyta; Chlorophyceae; Chlamydomonadales; Chlamydomonadaceae
Description: partial Eukaryotic small subunit ribosomal RNA
Source: RNAcentral